AUUGAACGCUGGCGGCAUGCCUUACACAUGCAAGUCGAACGGUAACAGGUCUUCGGAUGCUGACGAGUGGCGAACGGGUGAGUAAUACAUCGGAACGUGCCUAGUAGUGGGGGAUAACUACUCGAAAGAGUGGCUAAUACCGCAUGAGAUCUACGGAUGAAAGUAGGGGAUCGCAAGACCUUGAGCUACUAGAGCGGCCGAUGGCAGAUUAGGUAGUUGGUGGGAUAAAAGCUUACCAAGCCGACGAUCUGUAGCUGGUCUGAGAGGACGAUCAGCCACACUGGGACUGAGACGCGGCCCAGACUCCUACGGGAGGCAGCAGUGGGGAAUUUUGGACAAUGGGCGAAAGCCUGAUCCAGCAAUGCCGCGUGCAGGAUGAAGGCCUUCGGGUUGUAAACUGCUUUUGUACGGAACGAAAAGCCCCGGGUUAAUACCCUGGGGUCAUGACGGUACCGUAAGAAUAAGCACCGGCUAACUACGUGCCAGCCGCCGCCGUAA
This 498-nucleotide ribosomal RNA is filed under the name uncultured bacterium. RNAcentral's name for it is "partial 16S ribosomal RNA". It matches the Rfam family "Bacterial small subunit ribosomal RNA", at positions 30 to 523 of the family's 1533-position model. The record is from RNAcentral.